Molecule: ribosomal RNA, 452 nt
Filed under: uncultured bacterium
Lineage: Bacteria
Description: bacterial SSU rRNA
Rfam family: Bacterial small subunit ribosomal RNA
Source: RNAcentral
ACUCCUACGGGAGGCAGCAGUAGGGAAUCUUCGGCAAUGGGGGGAACCCUGACCGAGCAACGCCGCGUGAGUGAAGAAGGUUUUCGGAUCGUAAAGCUCUGUUGUUAAGGAAGAACGAGUGUGAGAAUAGAAAGUUCAUGCUGUGACGGUACUUAACCAGAAAGGGACGGCUAACUACGUGCCAGCAGCCGCGGUAAUACGUAGGUCCCGAGCGUUGUCCGGAUUUAUUGGGCGUAAAGCGAGCGCAGGCGGUUAGAAAAGUCUGAAGUGAAAGGCAGUGGCUCAACCAUUGUAGGCUUUGGAAACUGUUUAACUUGAGUGCAGAAGGGGAGAGUGGAAUUCCAUGUGUAGCGGUGAAAUGCGUAGAUAUAUGGAGGAACACCGGUGGCGAAAGCGGCUCUCUGGUCUGUAACUGACGCUGAGGCUCGAAAGCGUGGGGAGCGAACAGGAUU